RNAcentral lists this ribosomal RNA (491 nucleotides) under uncultured bacterium. RNAcentral describes it as "bacterial SSU rRNA". It matches the Rfam family "Bacterial small subunit ribosomal RNA", at positions 1 to 507 of the family's 1533-position model. The record is from RNAcentral.
UACGAGUUUGAUCAUGGCUCAGGAUGAACGCUAGCGGCAGGCUUAAUACAUGCAAGUCAAGGGGGUAGCAAUACUACCGGCGCACGGGUGAGUAACACGUACAUAACAUACCAUAUACUGGGGUAUAGCUUUGGGAAACUGAAGGUAAUCCCCCAUAACAUUGCGAGAGGGCAUCUGAUUGCAAUUAAAAGUUUCGACGGUAUAUGAUUGAUGUGCGUUUGAUUAGCUUGUUGGUAGGGUAACGGCCUACCAAGGCGACGAUCAAUAGCUGGCGUGAGAGCGCGACCAGCCACACUGGAACUGAGACACGGUCCAGACUCCUACGGGAGGCAGCAGUAGGGAAUAUUGGACAAUGGGCGAAAGCCUGAUCCAGCCAUGCCGCGUGAUAGAUGAAGGCCCUCUGGGUUGUAAAUAUCUUUUAUCUGGGAAGAAACAAUCUUAUUCUUAAGAUCUUGACGGUACCAGAGGAAUAAGCACCGGCUAACUCCGUG